UAGGGAAUCUUCGGCAAUGGACGAAAGUCUGACCGAGCAACGCCGCGUGAGUGAAGAAGGUUUUCGGAUCGUAAAACUCUGUUGUUAGAGAAGAACAAGGACGUUAGUAACUGAACGUCCCCUGACGGUAUCUAACCAGAAAGCCACGGCUAACUACGUGCCAGCAGCCGCGGUAAUACGUAGGUGGCAAGCGUUGUCCGGAUUUCUUGGGCGUAAAGCGAGCGCAGGCGGUUUCUUAAGUCUGAUGUGAAAGCCCCCGGCUCAACCGGGGAGGGUCAUUGGAAACUGGGAGACUUGAGUGCAGAAGGGGAGAGUGGAAUUCCAUGUGUAGCGGUGAAAUGCGUAGAUAUAUGGAGGAACACCAGUGGCGAAGGCGGCUCUCUGGUCUGUAACUGACGCUGAGGCUCGAAAGCGUGGGGAGCAAACAGG
This 429-nucleotide ribosomal RNA is filed under the name Gemmatimonadota bacterium. RNAcentral describes it as "Gemmatimonadetes bacterium partial 16S ribosomal RNA". It matches the Rfam family "Bacterial small subunit ribosomal RNA", at positions 355 to 776 of the family's 1533-position model. Lineage: Bacteria; Pseudomonadati; Gemmatimonadota. The record is from RNAcentral.